RNAcentral lists this long non-coding RNA (371 nucleotides) under Rattus norvegicus (Norway rat). Its description in RNAcentral is "long non-coding RNA NONRATT027455". Lineage: Eukaryota; Metazoa; Chordata; Mammalia; Rodentia; Muridae. The record is from RNAcentral.
UUCAGUUUAUGCAAAGAAAAAAGACAAGACAUUGGACAGUGAAACCCAGACCAGGCAGCCCUGGACGGUGUUUGAUAUCAAGUCAAGAGCCUCAUGCAUGGGCCAGGUCAAGAGCUUGAAUCACAUCCUGGCAAUCCUUCCAAAGCAUACAGAAGAACCUGAACAUUUCUAUGAGAAUGGAUUUAAAAGCCAAGCUCGGUGAAACUGUUAGAAGAAAACACAUGCCAGGAAAUUGGUAGUUCCACAAGAAAUUGCUAGCACAGCACUGUAUGCACUAGGGGCUUUGGGCUACUGGCAUCCCAGGCCGUCUCCUCAGCAACUGUGCCAAGUUAGAAAAGCUUAGUUUUAGGAACAAUAAACUAAAAAAAGUC